RNAcentral lists this ribosomal RNA (494 nucleotides) under Campylobacter coli. RNAcentral's name for it is "bacterial SSU rRNA". It matches the Rfam family "Bacterial small subunit ribosomal RNA", at positions 1032 to 1533 of the family's 1533-position model. RNAcentral also lists the same sequence under 1 other name. Lineage: Bacteria; Pseudomonadati; Campylobacterota; Epsilonproteobacteria; Campylobacterales; Campylobacteraceae. The record is from RNAcentral.
AGACAGGUGCUGCACGGCUGUCGUCAGCUCGUGUCGUGAGAUGUUGGGUUAAGUCCCGCAACGAGCGCAACCCACGUAUUUAGUUGCUAACGGUUCGGCCGAGCACUCUAAAUAGACUGCCUUCGUAAGGAGGAGGAAGGUGUGGACGACGUCAAGUCAUCAUGGCCCUUAUGCCCAGGGCGACACACGUGCUACAAUGGCAUAUACAAUGAGACGCAAUACCGCGAGGUGGAGCAAAUCUAUAAAAUAUGUCCCAGUUCGGAUUGUUCUCUGCAACUCGAGAGCAUGAAGCCGGAAUCGCUAGUAAUCGUAGAUCAGCCAUGCUACGGUGAAUACGUUCCCGGGUCUUGUACUCACCGCCCGUCACACCAUGGGAGUUGAUUUCACUCGAAGCCGGAAUACUAAACUAGUUACCGUCCACAGUGGAAUCAGCGACUGGGGUGAAGUCGUAACAAGGUAACCGUAGGAGAACCUGCGGUUGGAUCACCUCCUUU